CGAUUCACGUUUUUUCGUCGAGUAACGUGUUUUGUGGCCGUGCGGGGCACUUUCAUCGCUCGAUGAACAGUGCUACACGUUCUCACAUGUUUCUUCAACGAAGCGGCAGGCGGAAACGGAUGAGUUCAGUCGAAGGAAGCUCACAAAGACGACAAAUCGCGACGGAGCGAUCGCUGAGUGAGAGAGGGGCGCGGUGAAUGCGAUUCUUUCCGUCUUUGCCGUUUAAAUGAAUUGUUUUCGGCCGAAUCGCCCAAUAUUUGGCCAUGAACGUGUGUGCAGAAGGUGUCCGACGAACCGAGUGUCGCAACAAGGAGGUGGAAAAUGGAAAACCGCAUCUCACAAUCAGGAUACAUCAUGUCUGACAGGCCAGGGCUCCCCCCGAGAGGUGAUCUCGAAAGAGACGGACACAGAGCCCCUGGAACAUCCCCCUUUGAGAGCUGGGUGUCCACACUCCCAGCGCCCUCACUGCCCUCGGCAGGCCAUUUUCCAGGUGGUCCAGGUCCUGGUUUUCCAUAUCAGCCGACGCCAACAACCUGGUCCUCGGGCAGUUGCGAGGAGGCGGCCCUGCUCCACCUUCGAACACGCUGAUCGAUUCGCUACACAGAAUCAUGUAGUUGGAAAAGCCUGCCAUCAAGCACACCAUAUUAAGCCCAUGUUUUGCUGUUUGCAUUGAGGGGAUGUAAGCAGUUCUUUGUGCAACAUGCCGCCAGGAAGAAGAAUGUGCCGACCACACUUGAGCACGGAGAGUGUUCCGUUCUCCGACCAAAAUACAUUCGUCCGCAAUUUCUCGCUGCUAUCACAAAACGGCUGGCGCUCCAACAGCCACUUCCACAAAGUCACUUGGAUGGACGGACACAAGAAAUGGUUUAUCGGCUAACCGGACACCAAGAAGAAUACCGAUUUUUCUGGUGAAGUGCUAGUGGGGGCCAGCUAGAAAUCAACCUGUCAAGCCAGGGAAUGAAAUUUCCAUUAUAUUAUUGUGAUCAUUUUUUUUUUUU
Neocloeon triangulifer is the source of this 998-nucleotide long non-coding RNA. RefSeq lists it as uncharacterized. Lineage: Eukaryota; Metazoa; Arthropoda; Insecta; Ephemeroptera; Baetidae. The record is from RefSeq and is a predicted model, not a curated record. The transcript is spliced from 4 exons.